AGCCGGCUGAGGAGUCCCACAAUAGGACGAAACGGCCGUCCAGUGC
Molecule: non-coding RNA, 46 nt
Organism: Schistosoma mansoni
Lineage: Eukaryota; Metazoa; Platyhelminthes; Trematoda; Strigeidida; Schistosomatidae
Source: Rfam